GCUAAACGCGAAGAACCUUACCUACUCUUGACAUCCAGAUAACCUCGUAGAGAUAUGAGGGUGCCUUCGGGAAAUCUGAGACAGGUGCUGCAUGGCUGUCGUCAGCUCGUGUCGUGAGAUGUUGGGUUAAGUCCCGCAACGAGCGCAACCCUUAUUGACAGUUGCCAAUAUUAAGUUAGGAACUCUGUCAAGACUGCCGUUGAUAAAACGGAGGAAGGUGGGGACGAUGUCAAGUCAUCAUGGCCUUUAUGUUCAGGGCUACACACGUGCUACAAUGGAUGGUACAAAACGUCGCAAUCCUGCAAGGGGAGCUAAUCGCAAAAACCAUUCUCAGUUCGGAUCGGAGUCUGCAACUCGACUCCGUGAAGUUGGAAUCGCUAGUAAUCGCAAAUCAGCAUGUUGCGGUGAAUACGUUCCCGGGUCUUGUACACACCG
RNAcentral lists this ribosomal RNA (435 nucleotides) under uncultured bacterium. Its description in RNAcentral is "bacterial SSU rRNA". It matches the Rfam family "Bacterial small subunit ribosomal RNA", at positions 954 to 1392 of the family's 1533-position model. The record is from RNAcentral.